Molecule: ribosomal RNA, 253 nt
Filed under: uncultured bacterium
Lineage: Bacteria
Description: partial 16S ribosomal RNA
Rfam family: Bacterial small subunit ribosomal RNA
Source: RNAcentral
UACGUAGGUGGCAAGCGUUGUCCGGAUUCAUUGGGCGUAAAGGGUGCGUAGGCGGCUCUUCAAGUCAGGCGUGAAAGCCCCGAGCUUAACUCGGGAACUGCGCUUGAUACUGUCGAGCUAGAGUGUGGAAGGGGCGAUUGGAAUUCCGUGUGUAGCGGUGAAAUGCGUAGAUAUACGGAGGAACACCAGAGGCGAAGGCGGAUCGCUGGGCCAACACUGACGCUGAUGUGCGAAAGCUAGGGGAGCAAACGGG